GCAAGAUUAUAUAUUAAGAGUUGGUAUAGACAUCCAUGUUCUGGCACAUUUUCCUCUAACCUCAAUCCGAAUUGAAACACUGGCUAUAUUGCAGUUCAACAUAUCUUGUCAUCUACAGAUUCAACUAAUCCAAUAUCUAGCUACAUCCUCGACUCAACUAAUCUAUGCCUUGAUAAACAUCCUAAUGUCUAAAAGUUCGUCAUACCUUGAACCAUACCAAAGAAGAUAAAAAUGAUCAUUAAUCAAUACCACUAAAGCAAGCAGAGAAUGUAGUGCAAUUGGUACAAUUUACUUAACAGAAGAAAAAAGAAAAAGAAUGAUGACUACUUGACAAUAAGAUUUAAACUAGAAAGAAUAGUAUUGAACACCAGUCUCCGCUGAGAACUUGAGAUAUAAUGUAAUGGUUACAAGAAAGAGGAGAUAUAGGU
Molecule: unclassified non-coding RNA, 428 nt
Filed under: Hevea brasiliensis (rubber tree)
Lineage: Eukaryota; Viridiplantae; Streptophyta; Magnoliopsida; Malpighiales; Euphorbiaceae
Source: RNAcentral